GCAGUCACCAACCUAUCAGUUCGGUUCACUCCCCUAUUUAUACCUGCCUCUGUCUCCUGCACUCUGCCAGAUCAUUCUUUUCCAUGCCUAUUGGUGAGUCUUGUCCAGCAUUCCCCGUACUCUGUUUGCCUGUAGACCUGACCCUACCUGAUCCUGAUUUUCCUGCUCUGUUCUGAUAGCUUACCUGUUUACCGACCUAAGUGUAACCCCUGUUUCCUGAGGGUAUUUUAUUUUUUGGGCCAACUUCCUUCUGAGGUUGCUUCCUUUAUUUCAUGGGGCUACAACGCGUCACUUCCUCUUCCUCCACUGUGGCUGUGGCAAGGAUCUGUUGGAGACCAAACAAUUCAACCAUUUGGAUAAUCUCUGCAGUUUAAAAAAUAUUUCAGCGGUCAGGUUUUUUAUGGACUGAAUGAAUUCAAGAUGGCGAGCUACCCUGAACUACCUGUGUGGUAGUUACGACCCCUGCCUGUAUUUUCCUCUGGAAUCUUGGAGGGGACUUUGCAUUUUUUUUGGACUGUGUUAUUUUUCCUUUCCAUCACGUGGAUCCUGGACAGUUCCCUUUUUUUCUUUCUCCUGUUUAAAAAGACUGCAUUAUUUUCCCCUUUUCUGUGUUUUUUUUUUCUUUGGGGAAAGGAAAUUUAGAAAAUUUAAUUGAAUUAAUUUCAUUAACAAUGGAAUACAAGUCUACAAUGACCCUGUAAAUUUGUGGUUAUUUUGUAUGUUUUUCCCUUAUGUUUAUUGUUAAUAUUUAAUAUAAUUUCAAUUGAAAUCUUAUACUUUCGUCCUGGUUUUCAUUUACACAUCAGGCUCCUCAAAGAACCUUUUUCUGAUGCUGCUAAAUGGUUAUCUUGAGUAACAUAAAGGAAGCCGUAGUUUGUAGUUCAAGAAGCGUUACAUAAGCCUGGACCUGUUUCUGAUUUUUCUGCCUGUUUUUGGACUGCCUCUCUGUGUACCGGUUUUUGGAUUCCCGUUUUGACCAUUGAGUCUGUUCCUGCACUAACCAGUUCUGUUUAUUAAAACCUGGUUAUUCCAUGUACCUUGCUUGUUUUUGGCUGAUAUAUAAAUAAAAGAGCUGGACGUUAUAGAAAAAAAGCUUAGCGAUUAAAAAAAA
Molecule: long non-coding RNA, 1111 nt
Organism: Fundulus heteroclitus (mummichog)
Lineage: Eukaryota; Metazoa; Chordata; Actinopteri; Cyprinodontiformes; Fundulidae
Exons: 2
Source: RefSeq, a predicted model, not a curated record